CCGUAACUAUAACGGUCCUAAGGUAGCGAAAUUCCUUGUCGGGUAAGUUCCGACCUGCACGAAUGGCGUAAUGAUGGCCAGGCUGUCUCCACCCGAGACUCAGUGAAAUUGAACUCGCUGUGAAGAUGCAGUGUACCCGCGGCAAGACGGAAAGACCCCGUGAACCUUUACUAUAGCUUGACACUGAACAUUGAGCCUUGAUGUGUAGGAUAGGUGGGAGGCUUUGAAGUGUGGACGCCAGUCUGCAUGGAGCCGGCCUUGAAAUACCACCCUUUAAUGUUUGAUGUUCUAACGUGGACCCGUGAUCCGGGUUGCGGACAGUGUCUGGUGGGUAGUUUGACUGGGGCGGUCUCCUCCUAAAGAGUAACGGAGGAGCACGAAGGUUGGCUAAUCCUGGUCGGACAUCAGGAGGUUAGUGCAAUGGCAUAAGCCAGCUUGACUGCGAGCGUGACGGCGCGAGCAGGUGCGAAAGCAGGUCAUAGUGAUCCGGUGGUUCUGAAUGGAAGGGCCAUCGCUCAACGGAUAAAAGGUACUCCGGGGAUAACAGGCUGAUACCGCCCAAGAGUUCAUAUCGACGGCGGUGUUUGGCACCUCGAUGUCGGCUCAUCACAUCCUGGGGCUGAAGUAGGUCCCAAGGGUAUGGCUGUUCGCCAUUUAAAGUGGUACGCGAGCUGGGUUUAGAACGUCGUGAGACAGUUCGGUCCCUAUCUGCCGUGGGCGCUGGAGAACUGAGGGGGGCUGCUCCUAGUACGAGAGGACCGGAGUGGACGCAUCACUGGUGUUCGGGUUGUCAUGCCAAUGGCACUGCCCGGUAGCUAAAUGCGGAAGAGAUAAGUGCUGAAAGCAUCUAAGCACGAAACUUGCCCCGAGAUGAGUUCUCCCUGACCCUUUAAGGGUCCUGAAGGAACGUUGAAGACGACGACGUUGAUAGGCCGGGUGUGUAAGCGCAGCGAUGCGUUGAGCUAACCGGUACUAAUGAACCGUGAGG
Molecule: ribosomal RNA, 988 nt
Filed under: Escherichia coli
Lineage: Bacteria; Pseudomonadati; Pseudomonadota; Gammaproteobacteria; Enterobacterales; Enterobacteriaceae
Also listed under: 1 other name
Description: partial 23S ribosomal RNA
Rfam family: Bacterial large subunit ribosomal RNA
Source: RNAcentral